RNAcentral lists this ribosomal RNA (492 nucleotides) under uncultured bacterium. Its description in RNAcentral is "partial 16S ribosomal RNA". It matches the Rfam family "Bacterial small subunit ribosomal RNA", at positions 29 to 507 of the family's 1533-position model. The record is from RNAcentral.
AGUGAACGCUGGCGGUAGGCCUAACACAUGCAAGUCGAACGGCAGCACAGUAAGAGCUUGCUCUUACGGGUGGCGAGUGGCGGACGGGUGAGGAAUACAUCGGAAUCUACUUUUUCGUGGGGGAUAACGUAGGGAAACUUACGCUAAUACCGCAUACGACCUACGGGUGAAAGCAGGGGAUCUUCGGACCUUGCGCGAUUGAAUGAGCCGAUGUCGGAUUAGCUAGUUGGCGGGGUAAAGGCCCACCAAGGCGGCGAUCCGUAGCUGGUCUGAGAGGAUGGUCAGCCCCCCUGGAACUGAGACACGGUCCCGACUCCUACGGGAGGCAGCAGUGGGGAAUAUUGGACAAUGGGCGCAAGCCUGAUCCCGCCAUACCGCGUGGGUGAAGAAGGCCUUCGGGUUUUAAAGCCCUUUUGUUGGGAAAGAAAAGCAGCAGGUUAAUACCCCGCUGUUCUGACGGUACCCAAAGAAUAAGCACCGGCUAACUUCGUG